This 298-nucleotide long non-coding RNA is filed under the name Lathyrus oleraceus (garden pea). Its description in RNAcentral is "Pisum sativum (pea) long non-coding RNA (PSAT_LNC002314)". The record is from RNAcentral. Lineage: Eukaryota; Viridiplantae; Streptophyta; Magnoliopsida; Fabales; Fabaceae.
CAGAGCUGCUUGAGGGUUGCUCUGAGUUCUCUGUCAGGUUUCUCUCCAGGUUUUGUCAAGGGUUUUGUUUCAAGGAAACCUCAGAGUAUUUUGCUUCUUUUUUGCUUUUUCUGUCUGAUCUCCCUCUUUUAUAACCUGAUUUUCAUGGCUUUGUGGACUCAAAUGGGAGAGGUCCAAGUCCAAGUUUUUUCUAUUAUAUUUUAUUUAUUUAUUUAUUUAUUUUUGUAAAAAAUUAUUAUUAUUAUUUAUUUAUUUAUUUAUUUAUUUUUUUCGUUUUAUUUAUUUAUCUAUUUUUUUC